Long non-coding RNA from Phacochoerus africanus (Common warthog), 579 nucleotides. RefSeq lists it as uncharacterized. The record is from RefSeq and is a predicted model, not a curated record. The transcript is spliced from 4 exons. NCBI's taxonomy places the organism in Eukaryota, Metazoa, Chordata, Mammalia, Artiodactyla, Suidae.
UCUUUCCAAUAAUAAUCUGGGCUUCAGCUGCUGGUUAUAUGAUAUGUGGAUGGGAAACAGCAGGGGGAAUAAGUGGCUCAGAAAACAUUUGCACCUGGAAACAGAUUCCAAAGAAUUCUGGGCUUUCAGUUUUGAUGAAAUGAUAAAAUAUGAUCUUCCAAAAUAUUGACUUCAUUGUGAAGAAAACAGGACAAAAGAAAACUUACUAUGUGAGCUAUUCCCAGGGAACCAUUAUUGAUUUUGUGCCAGUAGAGGAACUGAAGGAGAUUUUCUAUGGCUUUGAGGACAACAAGAAACACAGAUAUGAUACACACGAACACUUUGAGUUCUUUGUCUUUCUCACCAUUUCCAAGGACUGUAGUAGAUGAUUGCUAAGGAGUAACCUUUCAGGCUGCUGGACUUGUCAUCAUCAAAACUUCCCAUCUGGGGGUUCCUGCAGUGGCACAGCAGGUUAAGGAUCUGGUGUCUCUGCAGCAUCAUGAGUUCAGCCCCUUGUCUGGAGCAGGGAAUCUUUAUUAUAUCCAUUGAAUAAAGAACAUGGUGGAAUCAGAAAAACAAGUCUUUCCAGGGGAGCUCUGA